This 297-nucleotide unclassified non-coding RNA is filed under the name uncultured Cortinarius. Its description in RNAcentral is "sequence contains ITS2". The stretch from base 1 to 52 matches the Rfam family "5.8S ribosomal RNA", at positions 103 to 154 of the family's 154-position model. Lineage: Eukaryota; Fungi; Basidiomycota; Agaricomycetes; Agaricales; Cortinariaceae. The record is from RNAcentral.
AACGCACCUUGCGCUCCUUGGUAUUCCGAGGAGCAUGCCUGUUUGAGUGUCAUUAAUAUAUCAACCUCUUCAGCUUUUGCUUGUUGAGUGUUGGAUGUGGGGGUUUUAUUUUGUUGGCCUUUCUCAGGUCAGCUUCCCUGAAAGGCAUUAGCCGGAACAAUUUGUUGACCGUUCAUUGGUGUGAUAAAUAUCUACGCUAUUGACGUGAAACAGAUUCGGCUUCUUAACAGUCCAUUGACUUGGACAAAUUUUCAUUAAUGUGACCUCAAAUCAGGUAGGAUUACCCGCUGAACUUAA